Molecule: long non-coding RNA, 674 nt
Organism: Actinia tenebrosa (Australian red waratah sea anemone)
Lineage: Eukaryota; Metazoa; Cnidaria; Anthozoa; Actiniaria; Actiniidae
Source: RefSeq, a predicted model, not a curated record
CAUGUUAAAUAUCGAAAAACCUGUUAUAGCUAAAGAUAACACUUAAACCUCAUACUGGGUAAUCAGUUGGCCUCUGCCUUUUAGCUGUAUACACUACUGAGCACCACAGGGUUUACAAGAGUCUUGAAAAAGAGAAUUAAGUGAUUAAGUAAAAGUCAGAAAACACCAUUCAAGACAUCAGCCAUGAAGCUAAUUCUGAUUGCUGCCGUUGUUUUUGGGUUUCUUUCCCUGGUUUGUUUCCAACAAUCAGAAGCUCAUCCCAUUGCUUGGUUCGCACGUAUUGCUGCUACUCUUUCCAUGAAGCUCAUCAAGAACUCCUACUAUGCUCGUUGCAAUACCCGCAUUGUUCCUUCUCAUUUGAAAUGCCCUGGCGUAGUGUUCGGAUGGGGAAUGAGCCGUAAUGCAGCCCAAAAAGCAGCAAGAUUAUAUGCUGACGCAAUUGGAGACACGGGAUGUGGUCAAUAUGUUGGCCAUUGCGAUAUUCGCAAACUCGUCAAAACAAAAGGAAAAUAAGCGGAGAAAACCUCUGAACUUGAAAAUGAUUCAGUUAGAAUAAAGUAAAGUAGGGUAAAAAGAAAAAAAUGAAUAAUUGAUUGUAUGAAGACAAAUAGAAGUUUAAAGCAUUAAAUGAAGUAGUCAUUACUUGAAUCAAUAAACACUUGAGACCACUCUUA